This is a long non-coding RNA of Orcinus orca (killer whale), 496 nucleotides long. RefSeq lists it as uncharacterized. The transcript has 4 exons. Lineage: Eukaryota; Metazoa; Chordata; Mammalia; Artiodactyla; Delphinidae. The record is from RefSeq and is a predicted model, not a curated record.
AGUAAGUGAUUUCCCUUUACAGUAAGAUGAACAUUUGAUGAAAAGAAAUGGGAUUUUCUGAAGUACAUCUGACACAAUUUGCUUCCAACUGGUUAUUACAGAAUAUUGAGCCGAGUUCCCUGGGCUAGACAGUUCUCAUUUAGUCAACAUCCCCUAAGACUUGGAGUUCAGAGACUAUGACCAUCUCUCUCCUCUACCCGGAACCAUUCGUAGUGCUCACAUAAUGAAACAACAGGAGAAGCAUAAUAUCCUGAUGUGCCAUCCCAUGUAACUAUUCUAUAGAACUACUUAAUACAUUGCUUAGGACUACUUUGAGGAGCUUCCCUGGUGGCGCAGUGGUUGAGAGUCUGCCUGCUGAUGCAGGGGACACGGGUUCGUGCCCCGGUCCGGGAAGAUCCCACAUGCCGCGGAGCGGCUGGGCCCGUGAGCCAUGGCUGCUGAGCCUGCGCGUCUGGAGCCUGUGCUCCACAACGGGAGAGGCCACAACAGUGAGAGG